Molecule: ribosomal RNA, 279 nt
Filed under: uncultured bacterium
Lineage: Bacteria
Description: partial 16S ribosomal RNA
Rfam family: Bacterial small subunit ribosomal RNA
Source: RNAcentral
UGCCAGCCGCCGCGGUAAUACGAAGGGGGCUAGCGUUGUUCGGAAUCACUGGGCGUAAGGCGUAUGUAGGCGGUUAAUCAAGUUGGUGGUGAAAGCCCGGAGCUCAACUCCGGAACUGCCAUCAAAACUGAUUGACUUGAGAUUGGUAGAGGAAAAUGGAAUUCCUAGUGUAGAGGUGAAAUUCGUAGAUAUUGGGAAGAACAUCGGUGGCGAAGGCGAUUUUCUGGGCCAAAUCUGACGCUGAGGUUCGAAAGCGUGGGUAGCAAACAGGAUUAGAUA